Hevea brasiliensis (rubber tree) is the source of this 1630-nucleotide long non-coding RNA. RefSeq lists it as uncharacterized. The record is from RefSeq and is a predicted model, not a curated record. The transcript is spliced from 6 exons. Lineage: Eukaryota; Viridiplantae; Streptophyta; Magnoliopsida; Malpighiales; Euphorbiaceae.
GGAAAAUUGCGCCAAGGGGAGUGGCUCUGAGUGGUCCAAGAUUUGUCAUCUCCAGUACAUAUAUUUAGAUUGAUUACCCUUUUUUUUUCUCCUCUUUCGGCAUGGACAACAAACAAGCUUUAUCUGUGAAUUCUCUGUUCUCCCAGGAUGUUGUUUAUGAAUAAAUGAUCAUCUUAUGUUUUUUGAAGUCUACACAAGGGUGGAUUGCCUUAAUCUGAGAAAGUUCAGAUAAUUCCGUGGAAAGUGAAAACUUUUGGAUUAUAAAUCAAUAAAACGCACAAGAUAUCGGCUUUUGCUUUGCCUUUCACAUGUACCAUCUCCUGCACUUCAUUUUUCAUUGGUAUUGACUUGCCUCAUUGAACUCUAUAUGCUAUGAUUCAUCAUUAUAUGAUGUAUUCCCUUAAUGUAAUUGUUUUUGCAUACUUCCACUUGUGAAACCUUUCAAAUCAACAGGGGCAUUGCUGCAAUAUGAGGAAAUGCAAUUAUUUUUCUUUGGCAUUUUCCUUCAUAGGUAUUUUUCUCCAAAACUAGUACUUCCCAAAAUUCAAGUGCUUUAUAUCCUUUUUUGCCUAUGUUUAUUGGCUGAACUUUCACAAAAGAAACACAGAAAGUCCAUCAAAAGAAGAUUGGAUCUUCAUGAUGAUGAGACAGAUAAUGGGAAUGAUGAUGACCCAAAAUUAGUAGACUUUCUAGAUUCUCUACAUUGUCUUGGAUAGCAAAUUAAAGGGAAGAAGAUCAUACCGACUUAUGAGCAGAAGUUGCAAAGCUGUUUGCAAAUCUUGAGGCAUAUAUUUUUCUUAUAUAUUGUGCGCGGAAACACCUCAUUAUGGAGGGGUUCAAUCAUUUGUGAGUUUCUUGGUGGACCUCAUGCACUUGAAGAUUCUGUGGACUUGUAUAAUUUAAUACUAUCCAACUUCUCUUUAUACUCCAUUAAAUAAUCUCACUUUAUGUUUAUUAUUGCAGCAUUAAAUUUGCUGGCUCCAGUUCACCCGCUUAUUUGAUGAUUUUUCUCCGCAAGGUAGCUUUGGAACUUCAGGAAAAGAUAUGUUGUUGGUCCAGUCCACAUUAUACUUCAUUAGAGAUUGCAGGAUGCAAGAUAACUUCAGAUGCACAGCCGCAUUGUUUUCUCUGCAAUUUUCUGCUUUGAUUUGAGCUAGUUGUGAGACGACAGAAUAUUGUUCAACUGAGUAGGAAGCAUGUCUUUGGAGCCAUCAACUUUGUCCCAAGUGAAAGACUGAACAGGCUUUGGAGAUUGUUAUCGUGGCCAACUUGAGCUUUGAAAGAGCCAAAGAGAACUGAUAACUGUUGCUUGUGCAAUUUGAGCUUUAAGCUCCCAAUUUGAAAAGUACUUCAAUUAAAGAUCGACCAAAUGGAGAAUUGAACUUGCUUUGCAAAUAGAACCAUUAGAAAAUGGAACUGGACUUAUCCAUAGUGGCACUUGUUACAGUUGUUUUAUAUCUUGUUAGAUGUGAGAAGGAUGUGAAAUAAUUUCAAUUUUUUUCUUCUUCACAAUUUCAGGAUAAUCUUGAUUGUGGAAUUCUAAUGUGUAUGUUGUUAAACUUUGUUACUUCCUGCAUAUUGAUAUGAAUUAUGAAAUACAUAUGACAAAAGGUUUCUUUUCUGUGUGCUA